GAAUCCAUCUGGCCACUCUACCAUAAAGGCCUGAUUGGUGGAGUGCUGCAGAGUUGGUUGUCCUUCUGGAAGGUUCUCCCAUCUCCACAUAGGAACUCUGGAGCUCUGUCAUAGUGACCUUCGGGUUCUUGGUCACCUCCCUGACCAAGGCCCUUCUCUUCUCCCCCGAUUGCUAAGUUUGGCCGGGCAGCCAGCUCUAGGAAGAGUCUUGGUGGUUCCAAACAUCUUCCAUUUAAGAAUGAAGGAGGCCACUGUGUUCUUGGGGACCUUCAAUGCUGCAGAAAUGUUUUGGUACCCUUCCCCAGAUCUGUGCCGACACAAUCCUGUCUCAGAGCUCUAUGGACAAUGCCUUCGACAUCAUGGCUUGGUUUUAGCUCUGACAUGCCCUGUCAACUGUGGGACCUUAUAUAGACAGGAGUGUUUCUUUCUAAAUCAUGUCCAAUCAGUUGAAUAUACCACAGGUGGACUCCAAUCAAGUUGUAGAAACAUCUCAAGGAUGAUCAAUGGAAACAGGAUGCACCUGAGCUUAGUUUCGAGUCUCAUAGCAAAAGGUCUGAAUACUUAUAUAAUUAAGGUAUCUUUUUUUAAUAUUUUCAAUACAUUUGCAAAUAUUUCUAAAAACCUGUUUUUACUUUGUCAUUACGGGGUAUUGUGUGUAGAUUGAUGACAUACGGUUUUAUUUUUAAUCCAUUUUAGAAUAAGGCUGUAACGUAACAAAAUGUGGAAAAUGUCAAGGGGUCUGAAUACUUUCUGAAUGCACUGUAUAUAAUGUAUUCUAUACAUUAUAGUAUGUAUUACAUGUACAUAAUGUGUCAGUACUGAGUAAUGUGUUUUUGGUGUACUGCUCACCUAGGCAGGUCUUGGUGUAUAUAAUGUGUCAGUACUGAGUAAUGUGUUUUUGGUGUACUGCUCACCUAGGCAGGUCUUGGUGUAUAUAAUGUGUCAGUACUGAGUAAUGUGUUUUUGGUGUACUGCUCACCUAGGCAGGUCUUGGUGUAUAUAAUGUGUCAGUACUGAGUAAUGUGUUUUUGGUGUACUGCUCACCUAGGCAGGUCUUGGUGUAUAUAAUGUGUCAGUACUGAGUAAUGUGUUUUUGGUGUACUGCUCACCGAGGCAGGUCUUGGUGUAUAUAAUGUGUCAGUACUGAGUAAUGUGUUUUUGGUGUACUGCUCACCGAGGCAGGUCUUGGUGUAUAUAAUGUGUCAGUACUGAGUAAUGUGUUUUUGGUGUACUGCUCACCUAGGCAGGUCUUGGUGUAUAUAAUGUGUCAGUACUGAGUAAUGUGUUUUUGGUGUACUGCUCACCUAGGCAGGUCUUGGUGUAUA
Molecule: long non-coding RNA, 1325 nt
Organism: Oncorhynchus keta (chum salmon)
Lineage: Eukaryota; Metazoa; Chordata; Actinopteri; Salmoniformes; Salmonidae
Exons: 4
Source: RefSeq, a predicted model, not a curated record